Long non-coding RNA from Symphalangus syndactylus (siamang), 2621 nucleotides. RefSeq lists it as uncharacterized. The record is from RefSeq and is a predicted model, not a curated record. NCBI's taxonomy places the organism in Eukaryota, Metazoa, Chordata, Mammalia, Primates, Hylobatidae.
AGGCCAUGAUGAGGAAGAGCUCCUGGCGGGCCAGGAUCUCACCUAUACAGGAGCGAGGUCCUGCUCCAAACGGCAAAUAGCUUACUGACGCAAACUCACCGAUGCUGCUCCAGAGUGGAAGAGGAGAAGUGGGUCUGGGACAUCGUACUCCCUUCCUUGCUCAGCCUCAUGCCCCCUCAUUCUUCCGCCGUGAGGAAAGUGCCCUUUACUCCCUCGUUCCCACUCAGUCAUCUUUUCCUCAGCUUCUGCUAGAUCAAAUCUAAAUCCAGCCCUUCUCCAGCCCUUCCCUCCUAACAGGCGCUUAUGUCUGAACACCUGUGUCUGUGGACUUUGGUGUCUGGCAGUGGAUGUGGGUGUGCGUAUGGAGCUGCGGCGCAUGUUAUGUGCGUGCUGCAGCUGGUUGGAGCAUGGAGCUCCCAGCCUUUCAUCCCGCACCACAUGUCUCUGAGGGCAGCAGGAAGCUCCUCUGGGAAGUCAGGCAGAUCUGUGGAUGAGUCAUUGCGUGUCUGUAGGUGGUAGAGACAUGGAGCCACAGGGCUGGGGGCUGGAUGAUUUUUAUUUUAUUUAAUUAAUUAAUUAUUUAUUUAUUUUGAGACAGAGUCUCGCUCUGUCACCCAGGCUGGAGUGCAAUGGUGCGAUCUUGGCUCACUGCAACCUCUGCCUCCUUGGUUCAAGUGAUUCUCCUGCCUCAGCCUCCUGAGUAGCUGGGACUAUAGGCACGCGCCACCACCCAUGGCUAAUUUUUGUAUUUUUAGUAGAGACAGGGUUUCACCAAUUGGUCAGGCUGGUCUUGAACCCCUGACCUCAUGAUCCACCCGCCUCGGCCUCCCAAAGUGUUGGGAUUACAGGUGUGAGCCACUGUGCCCGGCCGGCAGGAUGAUUUUUAGUAGUUGAUGGUUGACUGACUUUAGGUUGGCUAGCAGGAGCCAGGGGUAGGGGGAGCCAGGUGGGCUGGCAAGCAGUGUUGAAUGCAUCACAGGGCUAGAUGUCGCUGGGAGGGCAGGCGCACCUGGAGUCAACGUUGGCCUUGUGGGGGAUGAGCAUAGGGGCCACGGGCCUGACGCGAAGCACUUCUCGGAUGGUGGCCUCCAGCAGGAGGAGAUGGUUACGGUCACUGAUAGUUGGUGUGCGGCUGAAACCCACAUUCUGGUCAAUCUCCUCAUAGAGCUUCUUCUUCACCUGAAGACCAGAGUAGGUUGGAGGUGACUAGUGUGUGUAAACCCAGGAGAAGCAAGGGCUUAGAGAAGAAUCCAACUGUGACAUUGAGAAGAGCCUGUCCAGUCCCUUCCCAGUAGUGGCUCUGGGGCCCAGGCCCGGCUUCCAGAAGAUGGGGCAGCUCUACUCUGGGGUCAAAGCCAACUACUGCUUGGGUAAGGGGCAGGGCAGGCCUAGUCUUCCUGCACAGAAAGCCUGAGAGAAUUGGCUCUCCCUUUCUCUGGAGCCCAGAGAUUGGGCUGGCUGGGGUCUAGGAUCGAUGAGGGGGAAGCACACCUGAGGAUUGUGCAGCAGGAAGGCCACGAUCCAUUUAACCACAGAGGUGGUGGUCUCCACGCCAGCCCCAAAGAUAUCCCCUAUGGUGGUGAGAAUGUGGUUAUCUGAAAGCAGCUCUGAGUCUUGAUCUGGGCCAGCAUUGCCGUUAUCUGAAUUCAUCUUGGCUUGCAUCAGUAUGUCCAUCAUGUUGGUGAUAGAGUCGCUCCGGAAUUUCUCCUGGGUUGGGUGAGGUUGGAAGACAUUAAUAAGGAAGGAGCCCCAUCUGUGACACUCCUGCCAUACUUCUGUCCCUGACUAGAGAUAACAAGGCUCCUUCCACUUGGAAGUAGAGCAAGUCUGGGCAGGACCUACAAACUUGUGGAGGUAGGAGGCAGCCCUGGGCCCUCUUUAAAUUUGGUGGAGAGGUUAGGUCUCUUCUAGGAUCCUUUUCAAUUCCUCACUUUUCGAUCCCAACUCCUUAAGUCAGUUUUUUUUUUUUUUGAGACAGAAUCUUGGUGCAAUGCCCAGGCUGGAGUGCAAUGGCAUGAUCUCAGCUCACUGUAACCUCUGCUUCUCGGGUUCAAGCGAUUCUCCUGUCUCAGCCUCCCGAGCAGGUGGGACUACAGCUGCCAGAGUCUCUCCUAGAGGUGGAUCUUAGCUUUCUGUCUCUGGAAGUUCCUACUCCACCCCUGAUCUUCAGCCAGAAUGGAAGGCAAGAUGGGGACACAGAACGGGUUUAUCAUGACAACGAAGACAAUUCUAAACAGGGGAGGAGGGCGUGGUCUCCACCUCUCCUUCUCCAUUCAAUCAAACAUCAAGCGCUGACUCUGCUAUGUGUCCAGCCUUUAGGAGUGAGAGAGACGUGAGCCUGAAGCCUCAGACAAGCUCCUUAACCCCGCUAAGCCUGCUUCUCACCUGCACAGUGGGGAUAAUAAAACCUACUUCCAAGGGAAAUUCAGUGAUGGAUGCUUAUAGAAUGCUUAGUACUGGCACAUGGUCAUUGGAAAAGAAAUGAAGGCCAUUAUCUGGAGUACUAAGCAGUUCCUGUGGGAUCCAGCCCCACCCCCAGGGGCCAGCCUAGCACUCACUGAUCUUCUCCAGCUUCUGAUCGCCAUCCUUGAACAGGGCAAAGGUGGCCAUUGCCAGCCUUC